AUUGAACGCUGGCGGCAUGCCUUACACAUGCAAGUCGAACGGUAACAGGUUAAGCUGACGAGUGGCGAACGGGUGAGUAAUACAUCGGAACGUGCCCAGUAGUGGGGGAUAGCCCGGCGAAAGCCGGAUUAAUACCGCAUACGACCUAAGGGUGAAAGGGGGGGAUCGCAAGACCUCUCGCUAUUGGAGCGGCCGAUGUCAGAUUAGCUAGUUGGUGGGGUAAAAGCUCACCAAGGCGACGAUCUGUAGCUGGUCUGAGAGGACGACCAGCCACACUGGGACUGAGACACGGCCCAGACUCCUACGGGAGGCAGCAGUGGGGAAUUUUGGACAAUGGGCGCAAGCCUGAUCCAGCCAUGCCGCGUGCGGGAAGAAGGCCUUCGGGUUGUAAACCGCUUUUGUCAGGGAAGAAAUCCUUUGGGUUAAUACCUCGGGGGAUGACGGUACCUGAAGAAUAAGCACCGGCUAACUACGUG
Molecule: ribosomal RNA, 476 nt
Filed under: uncultured bacterium
Lineage: Bacteria
Description: partial 16S ribosomal RNA
Rfam family: Bacterial small subunit ribosomal RNA
Source: RNAcentral